UUGUGCACAAUAAAUAACACUCAAAAAUAUAUUUAAGGUUUUCAUUUGACUCGCCUACGUAUUUUUAAAAUCUUAAUCUUACACUUCCUUAUUGUAGUACAAAGACAUGCUUAUACUAAUCCAGAAAGUGUCAACAGUGAAUAUAAGUUAUGUAAUAAUUUUCUACUAGUUCAAAAUAAUGAUUUAAUUUAAAUUAAAUUAAAUUUGUAUUAUUAAUCUACUUUUACACAAGGGCACAUUAUUUGAAAAGUUCUAUCAGCUGGUACUUAACAGCAUUUAGUGCACUGAAAGUUAACUGAUGUGUUGGAAAACAAAUUGCCUCCUCUUCAGGGUUGAAGAAUAAACCAAGCAGGAAACCAGCAUGAAGCAGGUCUUACUACCUUACUUUGGCUUCUUCUUCAACCCUGAACAUUGGGGUGACAUGUUCCUCCAAUACACUAACUGAUUUUUCAACACUCUACAUGGCGUUAUAUCCUAGAGGACAGAGCCCUUCAUAACCACAGCUGUGAAAACCUCAAAUCCAGCACAUUAACGGUUUCAGUGUUUCAUUGAUUUAUUACAAAUAUUAAAAGUUAAAUACUAUCAUAUUGUUAUGUGCAAAAUUUUCUGACACAAAAGAUACAAAAUAUCCUUGCAGAUCUGAUCAUCUGUGGUACUUCAUAUGAAUUUAUCUCCCCAUGGCUAAUUAAAUCAAAGUACAACUAACUGUGCAAAAACUGUAUGUUACACUAGUAGAAUAUGAUUGUAUUAGAGUAAUUCCUUUGAUUAAUAACAUAAAACCUGAGUCUUUUUAUUAAUAUCAAUGUUUUACUCAAAUCGUAACAAGCAUACUUAUUGUAUUAAAUUGGUAUAAAGAAAUAAAAUGUGCAUCACUAUGUGUGAAAUUACAACAUCUUGUAUGUGUGGUUAAAUGAUAACAAUAAUAUAAUGCAAUGUAUCACAUUAAGAUUCCAUUUUGCAAUAGCAAUAUGACAACAGACACAGCAGCUAUAAUGUCAGACUUGAGGCUCUUGUGGCCAUGACUACAAACGUGUUGUUUUCUGAGAUGUAACACUAUAGUAUUGUAAAAGUCUCCCUGACAUUUUGGAGAACAUAUGACUCCACCUGCAGGGUCAAAGAGUAAACCAAGCAAGCAAGCAAGCAAGAAGCAAGCAGGGUAUUCUGCUUGCCGAUUACUCCUGGCUUGUUGCUUGUUCGACAUACUCUUUGACCAUGCAGAUUCAGGCAGUACAUUCAUUCAAAAUAUCAGGAAAAUUCUACCAGACUACAUGGCAUCACAGCCCAGGGGACGGUACUCUUCAUGGUAGCUACAAGUACAUAAUCAGACUAUACGUACGGAUGGUUAGAACACAUAUGACUUGCAAGAAUACUUAUUGCUCAGCUUACGUGGACAUGCAACUGACAUCAAGAUUAUUAGUAACAAUUAUUACCACUUCAGUUUUGGACAAAAAGGAAAGGGACCUAAUGAACAAGAAUUAAAUGAAUAGAAACUGAAAGAGUAUUUUUAAAAUUCAAAGGAUGUUCAUGAUAUCCCACAUUCUUCACAACAUGUACACAUCAUCAUGCAUUUCUGUUGUUAGUACAUUAAAGGUUGUCACUAUUCACCAUCAAGCAUUUUUCAAACUGUCACAAAACCAGUUCAUGAUCCUAGGUACUGCAAUUUUCUGUGUCAGUCUGCAAAACAAAUAUAAAUUGAUUUUUGUUUGAUCUUAUAGAAAUAUAUGUAUUUUAUAUGGUUGGUUGUAAGCCUGAUAUUCUCUGUUUUAUUGGGGCUGGUGUGAGUGGGACUCUGGUCUGAUACCUGUGGUGAUCUAUUUUUCACAUCUUUACUUUCAUUUGUAGACAGAUAAGAUUAAUUUUAUUCAGUGUUUAGUAUGUCCUCUUUUGGAAUUAGAUUUUAGUAGAUAAUUUCAGCUAUAUCUGCCUCUAUGCUGGAGACUCCAUUUAAUAUCAAGAUGUGCCAGAACAGCAGUUAUCUUUGGAAACAGAAAAUGUAUGAAUGUGCCCCCCCCCCCACCGAGAAGCUUGUAGUAAUGAUGUUCAAGCCAAAUACUUUGUGGUGAGUGCUGAAUAUUCAGCUUUCUAGAUAUCCCAUAAAUAUUUUAUUGUGAAGAUUAAGGAAUUCUGAAGCCCCCAAAAAAAUAGUUCCAAUAGCUUAUUUUAAAAAUAUCAAUCGUAACCACAUUGAAAUAUGCAUCUUUCCUCACUAACAUUUUCAGUAAUAAUGACUCAAGAACUCUCAUCAAAGAACAUGACAGUAAUACCAAUCCAAGGUUCCAUUUCUGUACAUGUCUAUGUUAUUAGUUCAUCUUCUUAUUUCACCUCCUUUAUAUUUACCAACAUUUGCUUCCACAGCUUUUUUUUUUUAAUCUUUAACAACCAGAUACUUUGGUUUAAAUGUAAUGCAAUUACAAAGUAACAUGUGUAUAGAUAUUGGUCUUGUUAAAGGAAAAUUCAUUACUAAGUUUCAGUACCACAUCAUGAAGGCCUUGGUCUUGGGUAAAUGUGAGAGGCCAGCUUCAUGCUCUGGCAGACCAUUUACUGGAGAGGAGGUUAGGUGGGUCCCAUAGCUGGUCUGGAUGCAGUGGCAAAGAGAUGAAGUUCUUCCUGUCUUUGUUCAUUAUUAUAUUAGGUUGAGGGGAGG
This is a long non-coding RNA of Cryptotermes secundus, 2644 nucleotides long. RefSeq lists it as uncharacterized. Lineage: Eukaryota; Metazoa; Arthropoda; Insecta; Blattodea; Kalotermitidae. The transcript is spliced from 2 exons. The record is from RefSeq and is a predicted model, not a curated record.